RNAcentral lists this non-coding RNA (45 nucleotides) under Trichobilharzia regenti. Lineage: Eukaryota; Metazoa; Platyhelminthes; Trematoda; Strigeidida; Schistosomatidae. The record is from RNAcentral.
AUCCAGAUGACGGGUCCCAGAUAAGGCGAAAUGCGCAUCCUGAAU